Molecule: transfer RNA, 60 nt
Filed under: Dipodomys ordii (Ord's kangaroo rat)
Lineage: Eukaryota; Metazoa; Chordata; Mammalia; Rodentia; Heteromyidae
Rfam family: tRNA
About the family: Transfer RNA (tRNA) molecules are approximately 80 nucleotides in length. Their secondary structure includes four short double-helical elements and three loops (D, anti-codon, and T loops).
Source: Rfam by way of RNAcentral
GUGGUUCAGUGGUAGAGUGCUUGCCUUGCAUGCAGGAAGCCCUGAGUUUGAUUCCUCAGC